RNAcentral lists this ribosomal RNA (1451 nucleotides) under uncultured organism. Its description in RNAcentral is "SSU rRNA". It matches the Rfam family "Bacterial small subunit ribosomal RNA". The record is from RNAcentral.
GGCUCAGGAUGAACGCUAGCUACAGGCUUAACACAUGCAAGUCGAGGGGCAUCAGGAAGAAAGCUUGCUUUCUUUGCUGGCGACCGGCGCACGGGUGAGUAACACGUAUCCAACCUGCCCUUUACUCGGGGAUAGCCUUUCGAAAGAAAGAUUAAUACCCGAUAGCAUAAUGAUUCCGCAUGGUUUCAUUAUUAAAGGAUUCCGGUAAAGGAUGGGGAUGCGUUCCAUUAGGUUGUUGGUGAGGUAACGGCCCACCAAGCCUUCGAUGGAUAGGGGUUCUGAGAGGAAGGUCCCCCACAUUGGAACUGAGACACGGUCCAAACUCCUACGGGAGGCAGCAGUGAGGAAUAUUGGUCAAUGGGCGCUAGCCUGAACCAGCCAAGUAGCGUGAAGGAUGAAGGCUCUAUGGGUCGUAAACUUCUUUUAUAUAAGAAUAAAGUGCAGUAUGUAUACUGUUUUGUAUGUAUUAUAUGAAUAAGGAUCGGCUAACUCCGUGCCAGCAGCCGCGGUAAUACGGAGGAUCCGAGCGUUAUCCGGAUUUAUUGGGUUUAAAGGGAGCGUAGGUGGACUGGUAAGUCAGUUGUGAAAGUUUGCGGCUCAACCGUAAAAUUGCAGUUGAUACUGUCAGUCUUGAGUACAGUAGAGGUGGGCGGAAUUCGUGGUGUAGCGGUGAAAUGCUUAGAUAUCACGAAGAACUCCGAUUGCGAAGGCAGCUCACUGGACUGCAACUGACACUGAUGCUCGAAAGUGUGGGUAUCAAACAGGAUUAGAUACCCUGGUAGUCCACACAGUAAACGAUGAAUACUCGCUGUUUGCGAUAUACAGUAAGCGGCCAAGCGAAAGCAUUAAGUAUUCCACCUGGGGAGUACGCCGGCAACGGUGAAACUCAAAGGAAUUGACGGGGGCCCGCACAAGCGGAGGAACAUGUGGUUUAAUUCGAUGAUACGCGAGGAACCUUACCCGGGCUUAAAUUGCAGUGGAAUGAUGUGGAAACAUGUCAGUGAGCAAUCACCGCUGUGAAGGUGCUGCAUGGUUGUCGUCAGCUCGUGCCGUGAGGUGUCGGCUUAAGUGCCAUAACGAGCGCAACCCUUAUCUUUAGUUACUAACAGGUUAUGCUGAGGACUCUAGAGAGACUGCCGUCGUAAGAUGUGAGGAAGGUGGGGAUGACGUCAAAUCAGCACGGCCCUUACGUCCGGGGCUACACACGUGUUACAAUGGGGGGUACAGAAGGCAGCUAGCGGGUGACCGUAUGCUAAUCCCAAAAUCCUCUCUCAGUUCGGAUCGAAGUCUGCAACCCGACUUCGUGAAGCUGGAUUCGCUAGUAAUCGCGCAUCAGCCACGGCGCGGUGAAUACGUUCCCGGGCCUUGUACACACCGCCCGUCAAGCCAUGGGAGCCGGGGGUACCUGAAGUACGUAACCGCAAGGAUCGUCCUAGGGUAAAACUGGUGAC